UUCCAAUCAUGGCAGAAAGCAAAGCCAGGUCGCCAUGGGUUGGGCAGAUCCUGAAGAGCACCAACUUGAGUCUGACAGUCCUUCCAGAACACGGCACCCACCUCCACCAUGUAACACAGCCAAGUGAAACACUAAGGAGGCUCUGUAAGGCAUGACUCUGAAGAAGGCCACUAUCUUUUACUGCCAUGACACCAUUUCUCAGAACACAUCACAUGGCCCCUGAGUGGUCAGGAGUCCAGAGAAAAACAGUCAAGCCCUCCUUUAAUAGUAAAAUUUUUGUCUGACCCUCUCAAGUAGCUAUUUAGAUCUCUUGCAAAUUGAACCAGAAGGUCUUUGGUUCAAGUUCCUGACUUAGCAAUUUUGUAUGUGUUAUCUCACAUGCCAUGAUCAGGUUCUUUGUGGAAGUUCUCUCUUUAAUUCUUCUUGAAAUAGGUUUGUUUUGUUUUGUUUUUUUAAUGCCUAUUUGAAAUCUGAGGAAACAAAAGCUCAGAAAGUGACUGGGUCCUUGACUUCCCAGCUCUUUACUACAGUCACUGGGGAACACAGUGACCCCAUCCCUAAUCGCUUCUUUAAGCGGUGCAAGUGACCCAGGAAUUCCCCGGCCAUUGCACAAUGAACUUUCCAUACCUUUAUUGGGAAUUCAGUUGUGGGGAGGAAAUCAAGGCUUUCAAAAACAUUAUCAGGAGACAAAAAUGAAGCCCCAUCUGCAUUGGAAUUUUCCAGUUUCUCAGUGUCAGGCAUUGAAUUGUCAUGGUUUGGCUCCCACUCGUUUUCUGCUUCAACGCUCAACAAGAAGACAUGGAAGUGCAGCACCACCUAGAAUUCACUUGGUA
This 833-nucleotide long non-coding RNA is filed under the name Pan troglodytes (chimpanzee). RNAcentral describes it as "long non-coding RNA NONPTRT011080". The record is from RNAcentral. Lineage: Eukaryota; Metazoa; Chordata; Mammalia; Primates; Hominidae.